RNAcentral lists this long non-coding RNA (7535 nucleotides) under Fragaria vesca (wild strawberry). RNAcentral describes it as "long non-coding RNA (FVES_LNC003428)". Lineage: Eukaryota; Viridiplantae; Streptophyta; Magnoliopsida; Rosales; Rosaceae. The record is from RNAcentral.
CCUAGAUGGGCCUAGGAGGGUUAUGACGGCCCAAGGCGACCUCUUGGCUGCCCUAGGAGGGUUAAGGUAGCCCCUUAGCAGGUCAAGACAGCCCUUUGGCGGCUUGAGACGGGUGAACGCGGCCCUUUGGUGGCCGAAGGUGGGUUAAGGCGGGUCAAGGCGGCCCUAUGCGGCUUUAAGAGGGUCAAGGCAGCCCCUUAGAGGGUCAUGGCGGCCCUAGCGGGAUUAAGGAUGCCCCUUGGCGGUCCUAGUAGGGUCAAGGCGGCCUAAGACGGGUCAAGACGGCCCAUGGCAGGUCAAGGAGGGUCAAGGCAGCCCUAAGCGGUUUAAGGCGGCCCCUUAGCAGCCGUACGCAACCCCUUCGCAGCCCUAGGAGGGUCAUGGCAGCCCCUUGGCUGCCCUAAGCGGGGAUACAAGGGCAUAGGAUGGUCAAGGCGGCCCAAAGCGGGUCAUGGCGGGUCUAGGCGGUUCUACGAGGGUCAAGGUAGCCCCUUGGAGGGUCAAUGCGGCCCCUUGGAAGGUCAAGGCGGCCCCUUGGUGGCCUUAGAUGGGUGAAAGCGGCUCCUUGGCGGCCCAAGGAGGGUCAAGGCGGAUUAAGACGGGUCAAGGCGGCUCUAGGAGAGUCAAGGGGGCCCAAGGUGGGUCAAGGUGGCCCACGGCGGGCCAAUGAUGGUCAAGGCGUCCCCUUGACUCCCCUAGGCGAGCCUAGGAGGGCCUAGGUGGGUUAAGAUGGUUUAAGGCAGGCCAAGACGGGUGAAGGCCGGUCAAGGCGGGUUAAGGCGGGUCAAGGCAGCCGAAAGAGGGUUAAGGCAAUCCAAGGCGGGUUAAGGCGGGCCAAAGUGGGUUAAGGCGGGCAUAGGCGGGUCAAGGCUAGUCAAGGUGGGUUAAGGCGGCCCCAAGCGGGUUAAGGCGGGUCAANNNNNNNNNNNNNNNNNNNNAAGGUGAAGGCUGCCCAAGGCGAGUCAUGGCUGCCCAAAGCAGCCUAAGGCGGGUCAAGGCUGCCCAAGGCGAGUCAUGGCGGGUCAAGGCGACCCCUUGGCUGCCUUAGGCGAGCCUAGGAGUGUCAAGGCGACCCAAGGUGGUGUAGGAGGGUCAAGGCAGCCCCUUGCCGGGUCAAGGCGGCCCCUUGGCGGCCUUAGACCGGUGAACGCAUCCCUUUAGCGGGUCAAGGUGGGUCAAGGAGGGUGAAGGGGGUCCAAGGAGGGUAAAGGCGGGCCAAGGUGGGUAAAGGCGGGCCAAGGUGGGUCAAGGCUGGUCAAGGCGGGUCAAGGAGGGUGAAGGCGGCCCAAGGUGGGUGAAGGCGGCUCAAGACGGGUCAAGGCGGGUUAAGGCUGGCCAACGCAGGGUAAGGCUGGCCAACGCAGGGUAAGGCGGGUCAUGCCGGGUCAAGGUGGUCUUCGUGGCCCUAGGAGGGUCAAGGCGGCCCAUGACGGGCCAAUGCGGGUCAAGACGGGCCAUGGCGGGUCAAGGCAUGUUAAGGCGGGUCAAGGAUGCACAAGGCGGGUUAAGGCAGUCCAAGGCGAGUCAAGGUAGGCCUAGGCGGGUCAAGGCUAGUUAAGGUGGGUCAAGGCGGGUCAAGGCGGCCCCAGGUGGGGGGCGGGCCGUCGCGGGUCAAGGCGAGUCAUGGCGGGCCAAGGCGAGCCAAUGCCGCUCAAGGCAGCUCUAGUGUAACACCCUGACCCAGGUGUUAGAAGAAUAAACGAAUAAAAUAACUAAGGAAAACCUAAAUCGAAACAGAGGUAGGAUCUCAAAACAAACAAAAGGUUUGUUGUGUUUGAAAUCUAAAUUUAUUUUGUUAAUUUGCAGCUGCACCCAAAACUUGAUCGAGCUGCCUAUAUACCCUUUUAAAGGGAUCAAGCCACUCGUAGUUCAUCAUUUUAAUCUACUUCUCUACCUACACUAACAACAUCACAUUUACCACUAUAAGUCCAAAAUCAAAACCCUACUUACGGCCUCCCAAGAACCAUUUCAUGAUACACACCAAAAUUUAAUAUGUUUUCUUCUAUACCCAUUAAAUCAAAUCAACCCGGCCAUACAAAGCCUCAUGCAUCAUCAAAACUAUAUCAAUUUAUUAUCAUUCUAAUAUAAAGUUUCAGGAGAAUAAUAUAAAGUCCCAAGUUUACUAAACAUUCUAACUAGAUUUACUAAGAACACCCAUUAGAUAUACUAUGGACACCCAUUCAACUAAAUCCAAUCCCAAAUCCAUACAUAACACUCCAAUAUCCACUUCAAUGCAUAAGCACAAUCCAACUAUAACUCAAUAGUUAAUAUUCAUCCUAAACAUAGACCAAACCCAGAAACCAUAACUACAACUACCGCCGCCGCCACCGUGAACAGUGGCCACCCACGGUGGUCACACUGCCCAGAACACCACAUUCUCCAAACUCCACCAAUAUUGACUUCAAGCAUCUCAACCUACUCCUUCAAUUCCAUACACUAAUUCAAAAGUCAGAAACUACAAAAACAAUCGCCACCAAUGUCGUGCACAGCAGCACACACGGCAGUCCUCCACAACCAAAAAUCCAACUUUUUCAUCUCUCAACCAAACACGAAUUCAAUUAUACAAAAGGUACAGCUCAAAGAGAAAAUCAACUUUGAUACCUGAGUCUACGCCAAAGCUCACCGGAAUCCGUCGAACUCUCGCCGGAAAAUUUAAAAACUUCUCCUCUUCUAUUCUCCCUCACCUGACCUUGUCUCGACAAGCUGAAGUCACAGGGAUGUCGAGGAUGAGGAGAGGAAACUAUCCACACCGGUGAGAUACCACGACUUGGCCGGAAUCGUAAACUCGCCGGCGAACCCAGCCUCUCCUUCUCCACUUUGAAUCUCUCUCUCUCAACCUCUUCUGAAGAAGCUGAGGACAUAGAGAAGGCCACGAGGACGAGAGGAAGCUUCCGCUACCAUUCUUCCUCCUCGCUGUCGCCGGAAUCGGAAGUUGGCCGAUAAAUUUAGAAAUUGUUCUCUCCUUCUUUUCUCUCUCGCCGGAGCUCCUCUUCGAAAACAAAGGACAUCUUGAGGACGGGGACGGCGAGACGGAGCUGUAGCCACCAGUUGGAGGCCGAGAGGUGGCCGGACGACGGAAAACGAUCGACGCUCCGUCGAUGCAGAGAGACCGGAGAUAGAGACGAAGUCUGUCUCUCCCGAAAAUAAAUCGAAGGUUCUAAAAGCUUCCCCCCUUCUCUCCAGAUUCUUCCCCCAAAAAUAUCUACCUCCCUUUCUUUUUCUCUCUUCUUUUUUUAUACCCUUUACUGAAAUAGUAAUUUUCUGUUUUUAGACCAUAAUUUUCUCAUACGAACUCCGAUUUGAGCGUGCCACGUGUCCACGAACUCGUAUUAACGUCCUCUACGACUUCCAUGAAGGAAGUUCUCCCAAAUUAUCAACUUAACAAAAAGUCAAAUUUUUAGGUCCUUUACGGUAAAACGGUUACAAGAAACAAUAAUUGAAAAUUUACUGUAAACUUCAUAAAUUCACAAAACAUAACUCAUCGCUUCGGAAAAUAAUCCGGACAUACCGGUGAGCUCAUAUAAACGUGUACCACGACUUCGGACUUUUAAAUCCACUAUUUACCCAUUUUCAGAAAAGCUCGAAAACAACCUCGAGCAAUCACUAUUUAAAUCUCUGAGCGCAAAUAAAGAAAAAUCUGCGGUAACUCGUAAUCCCAAACAGUAACCUUUUAGGUACGGGGUAUUAUAUCUAGGCAUGCAGGUCAAGGCGGCCGCUUGGCGGCAUUAGGUGGGUCAAGCGGCCUUAAGUGGGACAAGGCGACCACUUGGCGUCCUUAGACAGGUGAACGCGGCCCUUUGGCGGCCCCAGCUGGGUCAAGACGGCCCCUAGAUGGGUCAAGACGGCCUAUUGGUGGCUUUAGAAGGGUCAAGGCGGUCCAAGGUGGGUUAAGGCGGCCCAAGGCAGUUCAAUGCGGGUCAAGGCGGGCCUAUGAGGGCCUAGGAAGGUCAAUGCGAGUCAUGGCGUCCCUAGGCGAGUCAAGGCGGUAGCUUGGAGGGUCAACGCAGCUUUAGGCGGUUCUGGGAGGGUCAAGGCGGCCCAAGGGGGGUUAAGGCCGGUCAAGGCGCCCCAUGGCGGGCCAAUGCUGGUCAAGACGGCCCCUUUGCUACCCUAAGCGAGCCUAGGAGGGUAAAGGCGGCCAUGGCGGGCCAAGGCGGCCGAAGGCGGAUCAAGGCGGCCCAUGAGUGAGCCUUGGAUGGCCUAAGAGGGUCAUGGCGGCCAAAGGCGGGUUAAACGGGUAAAGGCGGCCCAAAGCGGGUCAAGGCAAGUCAAGGCGGCCCUUUAGCGGCUUUAGACGGGUGAACGCGGCCCAUUGGCAGCUCCAGCCGGGUCAAGGCGGCCUAUUGCAAUCCCAAGGCGAGUUAAGGCAGGUCAAAGAAGCCUAAGGCGGGUGAAGGCGAUCCAAGGCAAGUCAUGGCAGGUCAAGACGACCCAAGGCGGGUCUAGGAGGGUCAAGGCAGCCCCUUGUCGGGUUAAGGCGGCCCCUUGGCGGCCUUAGACGAGUGAACGCAUCCCCUUGGCGGGUCAAGGCAGCCCCUUAGUGUCCCUAGGAGGGUCAAGGUGGCCCUAAGCGGGUCAUGGCGGCCCAAGACGGGUUAAGGCGGCCCAAGACAGGUUAAGGAGGGUUAAGGCGGCCCAAAGCGGGUCAAGGCGGGUUAAGACGGGCUAAAGCGGGUUAAAGAGGGUCAAGGCAGCCCAAGGUGUGUUAAGGUGGGUCAAGGCGGGUCAAGGCGGCCGAAGGCGGUCUAAGGAGGGUCAAGGCGGGCCAAAGUGGGUCAAGGCGGGCCAAGGAGGGUGAAGACGGCCAAGGUGGGUGAAGGCGGCUCAAGAUGGGUCAAGGCGAGUUAAGACGGGCCAAGGCAGGUUAAGGAGGGUCAAGGAGGGUUAAGGUGGUCUUCGUGGCCCUAGGAGGGUCAAGACGGCCCCUUGGCUGGUCAAGGCAUGUUAAGGCGGCUCAAGGCAGGUUAAGGCAGUCCAAGGCGGGUCAAGACAUGCCUAGGCGGGUCAAGGCUGGUCAAGGUGGGUUAAGGCGGGUCAAGGCGGCCCAUUGGCGGCCCUAAGCGGGAUAAGGAGGCCCUAGGCCGUUUAAGGCGACCCCUUGGCAGCCAUGGACAGGUGAACGCUGCUUAGGCGGGUCAAGGCUGGUCAAGGUGGGUUAAGGCGGGUCAAGGCGGCCCCAGGCGGGUAAGGCGGCCCAAGGCGGGUCAAGGUGAGCCAAGGCGGGUCAAGGCCGACCAAGUUGGGUCAAGUCAGUCAAGGUGGGUAAAGCGGGUAAAGGCGGCCCAAGGCAGGUUAAGGCGGGUCAAGGCGGCCCAAUGUGGGCUAAUGCGAGUCAAGGCGGCCUUAAGCGGGUCAAGGCAGCCCCUUAGCGGCCCUACACAUCCCCUUUGCGGCCCUAAGCAAGGUCAUGGCGGCCCAUUUGCUGCCCUAAGCAGGGGCCUAAGAUGGUCAAGGCAAGUCUACGCGGUUCUACGAGGAUCAAGAUAGCCCCUUAGAGGGUCAAGACGGCCCCUUGGUGGCCUUUGACGAGUGAACGCGGCCCCUUAGCGGCCCAAUGAGGGCUAAGGCGGGUGAAGGCGGCUCUAGGCGGGUCAAGGUGGUCUUCGCGGCCUUGGGACAGUCAAGGCAGCCAAGGAGGGUCAAGGCGGAUCAAAGCGGGUCUAGGAGGCCCCAUAGUGGCCCUAGACGUGUCAUUGCGGGUCAAGGCGGCCCUAGGAAGGUCAAGGCCGCCCAAGGCGGGUCAAGGUGGCCCUAGGAGGGCCCAGAAGGGUCAAGGCGGGUUAAGACGAGCCUAGGAGGGCCCAGGAGGGUCAAGGCGGGCCAUGGUGGGUCAAGGCGGCCCCUUGGCUCCCCUAGGCAAGCCUAGGAGGGCCUAGGAGGGUCAAGGCGCCCAAGGUGGGUUAAGCCAGGUCAAGGUGGCCUAAGGCGGCUGAAGGUGGGUCAAGGCAAUCCAAGACGGGCCAAGGUGGGUUAAGGCGGGCCUAGGCGGGUCAAGGCUGGUCAAGAUGGGUUAAGGCAGGUCCAGGCAGCCCCAGGAGGGUUAAGGCGGCCCAAGGCGGGUUAAGGCGACCCUAAACGGGACAAGGCGGUCCUAAGCGGGACAGGGCGGCCCUAACUAGGCCGUUCAAGGCAGCCCCUUGGCGGCCAUAGACAGGUGAACGCGACCCUUUGGCGGCCCCAGCUGGGUCAAGGCGACCCCUUAGAGACCCUAGAUGGGUCAAGGCUGUCCAAGGCGGCCAAGGAGGUCUAAGGCGGUCCAAGGCGGGUCAAGGCAACCCCUUAACGGGUCAAGACGGCCCCUUGGCGACCUUAAAAGGAGAACGCGGCCCCUUGGCGGUCCUAGCGGAGUCAAUGCAGCCCUUGAUCGCCCUAGACGGGUCAAGGCGACCCCUUUGGCUACCCUAGGAGGGUCAAGGUGGGAUUAGGCAGGUCAAAGGGGCACCCUGGCUGCCCUAGGCUAGUCUUAGAGGGUGAAGGCGGGUCGAGGAGGCCCAAGGCUGGUCAAAGUAGGUUAAGGCGGGCCUAGGCGAGUUAAGGCGAGCCAAGGUAGGUUAAGGCGUGACAAGGUGGGUUAAGGCGGGCCUAGGCGGGCCUAGGCGGGUCAAGGCGGGUUAUGGCGGGUCAAGACGGCCCCAGGCGGGUUAAGACGAGCCAAGGCGGGUUAAGGCCGGCCAAGGCGGGUCAAGGCUAUUUAAGGUGGGUAAAGGCGGGUAAAGGCGAGUUAAGGCGGGUCAAGGCGGGUCAUGCUUAGAUAGGCCCAUGACGAGCCACUUCUUAACGGGCCUGGGCUUGGGCCGGCCCAUUUACUCAAACAUAAGGCCAUACCCUAAGCCGGUCAAGGCGGCCCCUUCGCGGCCCUAGAAGGUCAUGGCAGCCCCUUAGCUGCUCUAGGAGGGUGAAAGCGGCCCAAAGAGGGUUUAGGCGGCUCAGGGCGGGUCAAGGAGGCCCCUUGGUGGCCUUAGACGGGUGUACGCGGUCCCUUGGCGGCCCUAGCGGGGUUAAGGCGGCCUCUUGAUGGCCCUAGAAGGGUCAAGGUGGCCUCUUGGCUGCCUACGAGGGUCAAGGCUGGUUAAGCGGGCCCUGGCGAGUUAAGGCAGGUUAAAGCCGCCCCAUGGCUGGUCAAGGCAACCCUAGGCAGGUCAAGGCGGCCUCUUCGCGACCCUAGGAGGGUUAUGGCGGCCCCUUGGCUAUCCUAGGCGGGCCUAAGAGGGUGAACGCGGCCCCUUGGCGGGUCUAAGGCGGGUCAAGAUGACCCUGGACGGUUCUAGGAGGGUCAAGGCUGCCCUUUGGUGGCCUUAGAGGGGUGAACACGGCCCCUUGGAGGCCCUAGGAGGGUCAAGGAGGGUCUUGGCGGCCCUUUGAUGGGUCAAGGAGGGUCAAGGAGGGUUAAGACGGGUCAAGGCCAGUCAAGGCGGCCAAAGGUGGUCCAAGGCGGGUCAAGGAGGGUCUUGGCGGCCCCAAGAGGUCAAGGCGGCCCCUUAGUGGCCCUAGAAGGGUAAAGGCGACCUCUUGGCUGUCCUAGGAGGGUCAAGGCG